UACGGGGGGGGCAAGCGUUGUUCGGAAUUACUGGGCGUAAAGGGCUCGUAGGUGGCCAACUAAGUCAGACGUGAAAUCCCUCGGCUUAACCGGGGAACUGCGUCUGAUACUGGAUGGCUGGAGUAUGGGAGAGGGAUGCGGAAUUCCAGGUGUAGCGGUGAAAUGCGUAGAUAUCUGGAGGAACACCGGUGGCGAAGGCGCCCACCUGGCCUGCUACUGACGCUGAAGCUCGAAAGCUAGGGGAGCAAACGGG
This 253-nucleotide ribosomal RNA is filed under the name uncultured bacterium. RNAcentral describes it as "partial 16S ribosomal RNA". It matches the Rfam family "Bacterial small subunit ribosomal RNA", at positions 524 to 776 of the family's 1533-position model. The record is from RNAcentral.